Molecule: ribosomal RNA, 505 nt
Filed under: Erwinia sp. EECC-411
Lineage: Bacteria; Pseudomonadati; Pseudomonadota; Gammaproteobacteria; Enterobacterales; Erwiniaceae
Description: bacterial SSU rRNA
Rfam family: Bacterial small subunit ribosomal RNA
Source: RNAcentral
GCUUGCUCUCGGGUGACGAGUGGCGGACGGGUGAGUAAUGUCUGGGAAACUGCCCGAUGGAGGGGGAUAACUACUGGAAACGGUAGCUAAUACCGCAUAACGUCUUCGGACCAAAGUGGGGGACCUUCGGGCCUCACACCAUCGGAUGUGCCCAGAUGGGAUUAGCUAGUAGGUGGGGUAAUGGCUCACCUAGGCGACGAUCCCUAGCUGGUCUGAGAGGAUGACCAGCCACACUGGAACUGAGACACGGUCCAGACUCCUACGGGAGGCAGCAGUGGGGAAUAUUGCACAAUGGGCGCAAGCCUGAUGCAGCCAUGCCGCGUGUAUGAAGAAGGCCUUCGGGUUGUAAAGUACUUUCAGCGGGGAGGAAGGCAUUGUGGUUAAUAACCGCGUUGAUUGACGUUACCCGCAGAAAAAGCACCGGCUAACUCCGUGCCAGCAGCCGCGGUAAUACGGAGGGUGCAAGCGUUAAUCGGAAUUACUGGGCGUAAAGCGCACGCAGGCG